This 1227-nucleotide long non-coding RNA is filed under the name Centruroides sculpturatus (bark scorpion). RNAcentral's name for it is "uncharacterized LOC111621982". Lineage: Eukaryota; Metazoa; Arthropoda; Arachnida; Scorpiones; Buthidae. The record is from RNAcentral.
UCGAAAUACGUCACGCAUGACGAAUCGCAGUUCGAUUGUGUUUCUUGUUGCUUUCGGACGUGCUUUUGUUCUGCUCUUGGAUUGCGUUGCUUUUUUUGCGGUUUGUGGACUUUUGCGGAGAGGAUUCAAGAUUUUUUAGGAUGAAGACGUUGGUGCGUUGUUGGAGGCGGUUCCGGCGGAGGCAGGCGGUGGCGCCGGAGGGAGAGGGUUCCUCGGACGACGCGGAACGAGUCUGUCGUUCCGUGCCGUCCGAGGAGCGACAGGCAGCGGGUGAAGAAGGCCUUCGCCAAGUGCGCGUGGCGUGGCAUCCUCCCGGAGUCGGGAUGAUGCGACGCUACACCCUGGGUCCAGUGCGCUUGGCCGAGGUCUUCGGGGGUCAUCCGGCCACAGACCUUGCUGUGGAGGAUGUCGAAAGUGACAGCUCGUCCGAGCUGACACUUUCUGUUUGGUCGUGUUCUGCCCGUUCGUCCGCGACGGCGACGCCACCGCCUUGCCGAAGUCUGGACGGGGAGGAGUCGGAGGAGAGAGCCCCCGAAGUCGAGGGACCGUGCUGUCCGUGGUUUAGUUGCUGCGGACGGCUGCGGUUGCCUUGGCCUAGGCGGUGAUCUUCUUCGACUUCCUCUUCUUCACCCGGAUGCGACUUUCUUACCGGAUUCGACACUUUUCACCCGGACAUGACAUCUUUUAACGGACGUGACCUCUUUUACCCGGACGUGACCCACGGACUUGACACGUUUCUUCACCGGACGCGACAUUCGGCCGACCUUUCUUCCCAAACAGCUGUUAUGAGGAUUGAGCUUCCGGUUAGGGUUGGUUAGGUUAGCCUAGGCUAGCCUAACGAACCCUUCGCUCUUCUCAUAACACUGUUCGGGAAGAAAGGCUGUCUGAUUAAGGUAAUAAUCUUGACCUUAGGUAAUAAAUGAAUAAACUUCUUGUUUUCUCACUGCGUUUGUGUUUUGUAGGAACAUUUGGGAGGGAGAAGGAUCUCCCUCCCCAACUUUACCACGAAGAGGACCAAGUGGCCAUUUAUCGUACAAGUGAAUAUUUUCCGAUGACAUGCCGAAGAUGUUCUUCGAUCACACACAUACACACACACGCACGGACAUAACACCACUGUACACGAAGAUAUACACCGUUUAACCUUUACUCGAAUUCUCGCACUCACGCACUUACACGUCAAGCGCCUCGUUCUGUGUAAUUCCACACAAUGAAACAACCCGAACACAC